This 305-nucleotide ribosomal RNA is filed under the name uncultured bacterium. RNAcentral describes it as "bacterial SSU rRNA". It matches the Rfam family "Bacterial small subunit ribosomal RNA", at positions 334 to 656 of the family's 1533-position model. The record is from RNAcentral.
CUUUCCUCCUUGGCGCAGCAGUAGGGAAUAUUGCUCAAUGGGGGAAACCCUGAAGCAGCAACGCCGCGUGGAGGAUGAAGGUUUUAGGAUUGUAAACUCCUUUUGUAAGAGAAGAUUAUGACGGUAUCUUACGAAUAAGCACCGGCUAACUCCGUGCCAGCAGCCGCGGUAAUACGGAGGGUGCAAGCGUUACUCGGAAUCACUGGGCGUAAAGAGCGCGUAGGCGGGUGGUCAAGUCAGAUGUGAGAUCCUGUAGCUUAACUACAGAACUGCGUUUGAAACUGAUCAUCUAGAGUAUGGGAGAG